RNAcentral lists this ribosomal RNA (2235 nucleotides) under Salmonella enterica subsp. enterica serovar Javiana. RNAcentral's name for it is "bacterial LSU rRNA". It matches the Rfam family "Bacterial large subunit ribosomal RNA", at positions 594 to 2812 of the family's 2925-position model. The record is from RNAcentral. Lineage: Bacteria; Pseudomonadati; Pseudomonadota; Gammaproteobacteria; Enterobacterales; Enterobacteriaceae.
UGACUGCGUACCUUUUGUAUAAUGGGUCAGCGACUUAUAUUCUGUAGCAAGGUUAACCGAAUAGGGGAGCCGGAGGGAAACCGAGUCUUAAUUGGGCGUUAAGUUGCAGGGUAUAGACCCGAAACCCGGUGAUCUAGCCAUGGGCAGGUUGAAGGUUGGGUAACACUAACUGGAGGACCGAACCGACUAAUGUUGAAAAAUUAGCGGAUGACCUGUGGCUGGGGGUGAAAGGCCAAUCAAACCGGGAGAUAGCUGGUUCUCCCCGAAAGCUAUUUAGGUAGCGCCUCGUGAAUUCAUCUCCGGGGGUAGAGCACUGUUUCGGCUAGGGGGCCAUCCCGGCUUACCAACCCGAUGCAAACUGCGAAUACCGGAGAAUGUUAUCACGGGAGACACACGGCGGGUGCUAACGUCCGUCGUGAAGAGGGAAACAACCCAGACCGCCAGCUAAGGUCCCAAAGUCAUGGUUAAGUGGGAAACGAUGUGGGAAGGCCCAGACAGCCAGGAUGUUGGCUUAGAAGCAGCCAUCAUUUAAAGAAAGCGUAAUAGCUCACUGGUCGAGUCGGCCUGCGCGGAAGAUGUAACGGGGCUAAACCAUGCACCGAAGCUGCGGCAGCGACACUCAGGUGUUGUUGGGUAGGGGAGCGUUCUGUAAGCCUGCGAAGGUGGCCUGUGAGGGUUGCUGGAGGUAUCAGAAGUGCGAAUGCUGACAUAAGUAACGAUAAAGCGGGUGAAAAGCCCGCUCGCCGGAAGACCAAGGGUUCCUGUCCAACGUUAAUCGGGGCAGGGUGAGUCGACCCCUAAGGCGAGGCCGAAAGGCGUAGUCGAUGGGAAACGGGUUAAUAUUCCCGUACUUGGUGUUACUGCGAAGGGGGGACGGAGAAGGCUAUGUUGGCCGGGCGACGGUUGUCCCGGUUUAAGCGUGUAGGUGUGUGUUCCAGGUAAAUCCGGUUCACUUUAACACUGAGGCGUGAUGACGAGGCACUACGGUGCUGAAGCAACAAAUGCCCUGCUUCCAGGAAAAGCCUCUAAGCAUCAGGUAACAUCAAAUCGUACCCCAAACCGACACAGGUGGUCAGGUAGAGAAUACCAAGGCGCUUGAGAGAACUCGGGUGAAGGAACUAGGCAAAAUGGUGCCGUAACUUCGGGAGAAGGCACGCUGACACGUAGGUGAAGUGAUUUACUCAUGGAGCUGAAGUCAGUCGAAGAUACCAGCUGGCUGCAACUGUUUAUUAAAAACACAGCACUGUGCAAACACGAAAGUGGACGUAUACGGUGUGACGCCUGCCCGGUGCCGGAAGGUUAAUUGAUGGGGUCAGCGCAAGCGAAGCUCCUGAUCGAAGCCCCGGUAAACGGCGGCCGUAACUAUAACGGUCCUAAGGUAGCGAAAUUCCUUGUCGGGUAAGUUCCGACCUGCACGAAUGGCGUAAUGAUGGCCAGGCUGUCUCCACCCGAGACUCAGUGAAAUUGAACUCGCUGUGAAGAUGCAGUGUACCCGCGGCAAGACGGAAAGACCCCGUGAACCUUUACUAUAGCUUGACACUGAACAUUGAGCCUUGAUGUGUAGGAUAGGUGGGAGGCUUUGAAGUGUGGACGCCAGUCUGCAUGGAGCCGGCCUUGAAAUACCACCCUUUAAUGUUUGAUGUUCUAACGUGGACCCGUGAUCCGGGUUGCGGACAGUGUCUGGUGGGUAGUUUGACUGGGGCGGUCUCCUCCUAAAGAGUAACGGAGGAGCACGAAGGUUGGCUAAUCCUGGUCGGACAUCAGGAGGUUAGUGCAAUGGCAUAAGCCAGCUUGACUGCGAGCGUGACGGCGCGAGCAGGUGCGAAAGCAGGUCAUAGUGAUCCGGUGGUUCUGAAUGGAAGGGCCAUCGCUCAACGGAUAAAAGGUACUCCGGGGAUAACAGGCUGAUACCGCCCAAGAGUUCAUAUCGACGGCGGUGUUUGGCACCUCGAUGUCGGCUCAUCACAUCCUGGGGCUGAAGUAGGUCCCAAGGGUAUGGCUGUUCGCCAUUUAAAGUGGUACGCGAGCUGGGUUUAGAACGUCGUGAGACAGUUCGGUCCCUAUCUGCCGUGGGCGCUGGAGAACUGAGGGGGGCUGCUCCUAGUACGAGAGGACCGGAGUGGACGCAUCACUGGUGUUCGGGUUGUCAUGCCAAUGGCACUGCCCGGUAGCUAAAUGCGGAAGAGAUAAGUGCUGAAAGCAUCUAAGCACGAAACUUGCCCCGAGAUGAGUUCU